CAGCCGUAAACGAUGCUCGCUAGGUGUCAGGCAUGGCGCGACCGUGUCUGGCGCCGCAGGGAAGCCGUGAAGCGAGCCACCUGGGAAGUACGGCCGCAAGGCUGAAACUUAAAGGAAUUGGCGGGGGAGCACAACAACGGGUGGAGCCUGCGGUUUAAUUGGACUCAACGCCGGACAACUCACCGGGGACGACAGCAAUAUGUAGGCCAGGCUGAAGACCUUGCCUGAAUCGCUGAGAGGUGGUGCAUGGCGUAGACGUCU
RNAcentral lists this ribosomal RNA (261 nucleotides) under uncultured archaeon. RNAcentral describes it as "partial 16S ribosomal RNA". It matches the Rfam family "Archaeal small subunit ribosomal RNA", at positions 748 to 1009 of the family's 1478-position model. The record is from RNAcentral.